This is a long non-coding RNA of Brassica napus (rape), 1841 nucleotides long. RefSeq lists it as uncharacterized. The record is from RefSeq and is a predicted model, not a curated record. NCBI's taxonomy places the organism in Eukaryota, Viridiplantae, Streptophyta, Magnoliopsida, Brassicales, Brassicaceae. The transcript is spliced from 2 exons.
AUUCGGGUUCGGGUAUUAUCCGUUCGGGUUCGGAUAUCCAAUCUCUUCUUAUUCAAUACCCAUUCGGGUAUUUUGCUACUUCGGUUCGGAUUUCGGUUCGGGUUUUUCGGAUCGGGUUCGGGUGCCACUUCGGAUAUCGGAUAAAGUGCCCACCCCUAAUUCAUACCCUCGUAAGGCGAGUGUAAUCAAGCGCAUUAAAUCCCAUAUAUUAUGGUUGUAUUGUAUUCCUAUGACUAGUGGGCUCUUCUAACAUGUGACCCAAUUUAAUUAUGUCAUAGGUGUAUAUUUAGCUGAAUUAAUUAGUUUUUUUUUAGAAUGUAAAAUUUAUUCAAAUAAAAAAAAUUACAUCAUGUGUGGUAUGGUUGUCAUUGUUCUAGUAUGAAUAGAAAUGAAAAAAAAAGUUGAGCCUAAAGUAGUUUGCUAGGACUGUCGGGAAGCAAACCAAGCUAUCAUAGCCUUAUCAAAGCGGGUUCGUCUUCCUCGGAUGAGUGACAGAUCCUUUUCGAACCAGUUUGUGGAUGAAACCAAAGAUUAUAGUCGCAGUCUGAUGAUGUUUGCCAUGCUGCGUCCAAUUCUCUCCCUCCAUAUCAAAUGUACAGCUGCUUGAAACACAUAUCGUAACAGAAACAUAUGUGUCUUAUCUCUUACUCCAUUAACCAGAGCUUUCAUAAUUAUGUCCCAAAAAAAAAAAAAAAAUAGCUUGUUCGAAGAAUACUCCUGGAGAGAUUACUCCAUUUUUCUUCCGAGAAAGGGCAGCAGAAAAACAAAUUGUAACGACCCGGAUUCCUGGAGCCGUUGUGAUUUUCUCUUUCUAUUAAUUAUUUUUCACUAAACCAAUCUGGUUUCUUUUUGGUUUAAUUAAUUAUCUCCACCACUCGUUUUCUUGAACCAAACCGUGUAUGCAUGUACUUAAAGCGUAUGCAUCUUCCUCUUAUUUCUAACCUAGCCGUCAAAGUCAUUGUUCCUCCACUCAGAACCUAGCCUCAAACCAUGAUCGAUCUCUCAUGCUUCACCUCGUCCCCAUCUCUCUUGCUCAUCACUUGUGCCAUUAUAUAUCUUCUUCUCCCCCAUGUUAUUCAUGUGUUCGUGUGUUUGAUGACCGAGAAGACGUGACGUAUCCACCAUCGUCACCACCGGAGCCAUGUCCUUCACCGUCAACCACCGUGAGCCAUGCCACUGGAGCCAGCGCCUUCACCCGAGGAGUGGCUCGUGUUACUAGAGAUCCGUUGUCACCGUGGAGAAGAGAUGUACGAGCUGGAGCUAUCGCAUCUUGACGCCACCGGCACGCAUCAACACCACCAAGCACCACGACCGGAGCCGUUUCAGUCUGACCAGCCGUGAUCCUCAACCGUGAGUCACCGGAGAGGGCCAUUCACUUUUGGGGCCGAGAUCCGCCACUACGAUUCCAAGCCGUGAAGGUUAAAACUUAAAAGAGAUUAUAUUAAUUUCUUGUGCUGCAAGUUUCAUAAUUAAACCCUAGAUCUAUUAUAUGAUAUUUAUGUCUCCUAUUUCGCGUCUGUUAUUUUCCGAUCUGGUGUGCCAUUAUCGAGAGUUCGAGAUCCAUGGCGAAACCCUAGCUUUCUUUCUGAUCAAGUCAUUUCGUUUAUAGUCGGACUCGCUUCUGGUUCUUCCUUAUUGGCUAAGGUGAGACUGACGAGCUUAGUGAUUGUUAUCGGAUUGGUGCUUUGGGAGUUCUAUUUCUUUUAUUUUCAGACUUUCGAUUUUAUGAUUUUAUCGAUAUUUCGGGAUUUAUCUUUUUAUUGCAUUUAUGGUUAUUUAUUGGAUUUAUGACUUUGGAGUUGACUUUUGAAAAGUAAUAAAUGGAGAUUUCAGACUUUUUA